Molecule: ribosomal RNA, 301 nt
Filed under: uncultured bacterium
Lineage: Bacteria
Description: partial 16S ribosomal RNA
Rfam family: Bacterial small subunit ribosomal RNA
Source: RNAcentral
CAGUAGCCGCGGUAAUACGGAGGGGGCUAGCGUUGUUCGGAAUUACUGGGCGUAAAGCGCACGUAGGCGGCUUGGUAAGUUAGAGGUGAAAGCCCAGGGCUCAACCCUGGAAUUGCCUUUAAGACUGCCGAGCUAGUAGGUGAGAGAGGUAAGUGGAAUUCCGAGUGUAGAGGUGAAAUUCGUAGAUAUUCGGAAGAACACCAGUGGCGAAGGCGGCUUACUGACUCAUUCUAGACGCUGAGGUGCGAAAGCGUGGGGAGCAAACAGGAUUAGAUACCCCAGUAGUCCCUGUCUCUUAUAA